AGUGAACGCUGGCGGUGGGCCUAACACAUGCAAGUCGAACGGCAGCACAGUAAGAGCUUGCUCUUACGGGUGGCGAGUGGCGGACGGGUGAGGAAUACAUCGGAAUCUACCUUUUCGUGGGGGAUAACGUAGGGAAACUUACGCUAAUACCGCAUACGACCUACGGGUGAAAGCAGGGGAUCUUCGGACCUUGCGCGAUUGAAUGAGCCGAUGUCGGAUUAGCUAGUUGGCGGGGUAAAGGCCCACCAAGGCGACGAUCCGUAGCUGGUCUGAGAGGAUGAUCAGCCACACUGGAACUGAGACACGGUCCAGACUCCUACGGGAGGCAGCAGUGGGGAAUAUUGGACAAUGGGCGCAAGCCUGAUCCAGCCAUACCGCGUGGGUGAAGAAGGCCUUCGGGUUGUAAAGCCCUUUUGUUGGGAAAGAAAAGCAGCAGGUUAAUACCCCGCUGUUCUGACGGUACCCAAAGAAUAAGCACCGGCUAACUUCGUG
This 492-nucleotide ribosomal RNA is filed under the name uncultured bacterium. RNAcentral's name for it is "partial 16S ribosomal RNA". It matches the Rfam family "Bacterial small subunit ribosomal RNA", at positions 29 to 507 of the family's 1533-position model. The record is from RNAcentral.